Molecule: transfer RNA, 73 nt
Filed under: Alphaproteobacteria bacterium
Lineage: Bacteria; Pseudomonadati; Pseudomonadota; Alphaproteobacteria
Also listed under: 1 other name
Description: tRNA-Thr
Rfam family: tRNA
About the family: Transfer RNA (tRNA) molecules are approximately 80 nucleotides in length.
Source: RNAcentral
GCCCGGCUAGCACAAGGCAGUGCAGGAGUUUUGUACACUUCCGAUCGGGGUUCGAUCCCUCGGCUGGGCACCA